CCUGCUCAAUGUAAUUCUAAAUAGCCGCUAUAAGUGCUAAGGUAGCAUAAUAAAUUGCUCUAUAAUUAAGAGAUAGAAUGAAAGGUAACACGAUUUAUUAAUUAUAUCAAGAAACCCCUUGAAACUAGCUCAUACCGUUAAAACCCGCCUCUAUAAAAGAAGGACGACAAGACCCCAUCGAACUUAACUAAACAGUUUCACUGGGAAGGUUAAAAACUACAUCUUUAUUAAACCUAUUAUGCACGCUCUCAAUUGAACUAAAUAAAGUUACCGUGGGGAUAACAGCAUAAUUUUUGCCCCCAGCUCCUAUCCCACCAACUGAUUAUGACCUCGAUGUUGAAUUAAUUAACCUCCUGGUAGAAAUAUACUAGAAAGGAAGUCUGUUCGACUUUAUAUUAAUUACAU
Molecule: ribosomal RNA, 405 nt
Filed under: Speocera longyan
Lineage: Eukaryota; Metazoa; Arthropoda; Arachnida; Araneae; Ochyroceratidae
Description: partial large subunit ribosomal RNA
Rfam family: Archaeal large subunit ribosomal RNA
Source: RNAcentral